GAUGAACGCUGGCGGCGUGCCUAAUACAUGCAAGUCGAGCGAACAGACGAGGAGCUUGCUCCUCUGACGUUAGCGGCGGACGGGUGAGUAACACGUGGAUAACCUACCUAUAAGACUGGGAUAACUUCGGGAAACCGGCGCUAAUACCUGAUAAUAUAUUGAACCGCAUGGUUCAAUAGUGAAAGACGGUUUUGCUGUCACUUAUAGAUUGAUCCGCGCCGCAUUAGCUAGUUGGUAAGGUAACGGCUUACCAAGGCAACGAUGCGUAGCCGACCUGAGAGGGUGAUCGGCCACACUGGAACUGAGACACGGUCCAGACUCCUACGGGAGGCAGCAGUAGGGAAUCUUCCGCAAUGGGCGAAAGCCUGACGGAGCAACGCCGCGUGAGUGAUGAAGGUCUUCGGAUCGUAAAACUCUGUUAUUAGGGAAGAACAAAUGUGUAAGUAACUAUGCACGUCUUGACGGUACCUAAUCAGAAAGCCACGGCUAACUACGUG
RNAcentral lists this ribosomal RNA (497 nucleotides) under uncultured bacterium. Its description in RNAcentral is "partial 16S ribosomal RNA". It matches the Rfam family "Bacterial small subunit ribosomal RNA", at positions 28 to 507 of the family's 1533-position model. The record is from RNAcentral.